GGUGAUUCUUUUUCUUUUUCUUUCUCUGAGGGCCAGACGGCUCACCCUUUUCCUUUUGUCCCUCGGUUUGCGUUCCUGUUUGUUUUGCUUCAUUGAAUUGCUGCGUCCCUCAUCCUUCCGCACACGCCAGCAGAAGAAGCAACGAAACCCAUCAAAGGAGAACGAGGAAAAAAAUCACAAAAACAGAAACGAAACGCACAGAAGCAACAGGCGCUGAAACAGAUCGAUUUCGCUUUAUUUUUGUCCGGUUUGGCACUGUGCUACCCCCCCCCCCCCCGUGUCCCCCUUCGUCUUUUCCCACGGCAGUCUCGCGUCUCCUUGCGGACGCUGCCACCUUCGCAUUUAUUCUUUUAUUACCGCACAACUGUCUGUGCCCACAUAGACGGGCGUACCACGGUGAUCCGCGGCACAUCAUGGGGCACAAGAACUCGUCGAACAUAAGUUCGGCGCCAGUGCCUCCGCCCUUCUACGUCCUCCCUGCUGUCCCUGUUCCAUCUCUAAAGCCUUCGAACCUGGACUUUUCUGAGACAUCUGGAAAGCCGAUUUUGUGCGCUGGAUGGAUAGCACCACACGGCAACCGCUCGUGGUCGCGGCGAAAUGUGGUGUACUCGUCUGAAAUUGAGGUCCCGGUCCCGCAGCCGUGCCAGGUGCGCGUGAAAAUCUACGCUGCCGGCGUCAACCCCGUUGAUGCCCACCGUACCGCUGUGCUGACCAGCUUCCCUGAAGUUGGCACCAGCGGCAAAAGCCGCUGCGCGAGCCGUCACCCGAGACCCCCGUUUAAGUUCCCGUACGUGGUCGGCAUCGAGGGCGCUGGUGUUGUGGAGAGUGUCGGGUGGGCUGCCACCUCAAGCGGCGAGAGAGACGGCUCUGCAGGGGCACCGGCCUCUGCCAACGCCAGGGACAUCCGAGUGGGUGACCGUGUUGCCUUCUUGGCUGAUUUCACGCAGGGAAGCGGCGGCACCUUUUGCCAGUAUGCCGUGGUGGAUAGUGACGUUCUGUGGAAGCUGCCGGAGGUGGUAUGCGCACCACCACCCUCUACCGAUGGACUAGUGCCCGGCCGCCUCAUCGACUUUGUAGAGGCGGCGUCGUUGCCGGCCGCUGCCGCCACAGCGUAUAUCGCGCUUUUCGACAAGUUGAGGAUAGAGACGCAGCGCGCCAUCUUCAUUAGCGGCGCCUCAGGCGGCGUCGGCUCAGCCGCGGUGCAACUGGCUCACUACUUUGGGCUUUAUGUGAUUGCAAGCUGCUCGACGCCGAACAUGCGCUAUGUCCAAAGCCUCGGCGCGGACUACGUCGUCGACUAUACUCGCGCGGAUGUCGUGAAGGAGAUUCUGACGUACACAGACAACUACGGGGUGGACUACCUGCUCGAGUGCGCUGGUGCGUCUAUGGCAGAGGCGCACUCCGAGACGGUGCGAUUCGGCGGCGCGCUCUGCGUCUUGACGGGUUUGCUCUCCCCGAGAAGUGACAUGGUGUUUCGCCGACAACUGUCGGUGCACUAUGUGUGCCUUGGCAUGCAGCAUCAAGACCCGCUGGCACGGACGCAGCUGCAGCCUUUGGGUGAAUUGGUCAUGCAGCUCUACAUUCAAGGUGCCUUUAGCGUGAAUGCGGAGCAGGUGCCCUUUGUUCAAGCAGCGGAUGCGCUGGACGUGGUGGCAUUAGGCCACGGGCGCGGCAAGAUCGUGCUGACCAACUUUCACACGAACGAGGACAAAGAAGAGCGCCUGCGCCGCCGACAUGUUCAGUUGUACGAAAAGGCUCAGCGUCAAUAUCAGCUAGAGGAGACACAAAAGGCCGCCGGCGCAGCAGCAGCCGCGGCAGCCUCUGAUGCGGCAUCAAGGGAAGCGGGGUAGUAUUACGACCUCAUCUCAUUUUACCUCCUCGCUGCGACUCAAAAGCGCAGGGUCGGGCCUGUGGCAGAUAGGGCGGCACGUCUGUGAGAGUGCGCGCCAGUACCGCGUGUGUCUCUCCUUCUUUCAUCUUGCUGUGAGUGCGGGGGUGUGGUGUGUUUGUGUGUGUGGGGAGUAAGCGAGCACUAUACUCGCUGCGGCGUACUUCUGACCCUUUCUUGACUUCUGUGUUGUCGUGUUGCACUACCAUCUCU
RNAcentral lists this unclassified non-coding RNA (2101 nucleotides) under Leishmania donovani. Its description in RNAcentral is "gene:LdHU3.10.0940(CDS-product:zinc-binding_dehyd rogenase-like_protein)". Lineage: Eukaryota; Euglenozoa; Kinetoplastea; Trypanosomatida; Trypanosomatidae. The record is from RNAcentral.